This 253-nucleotide ribosomal RNA is filed under the name uncultured bacterium. Its description in RNAcentral is "partial 16S ribosomal RNA". It matches the Rfam family "Bacterial small subunit ribosomal RNA", at positions 524 to 776 of the family's 1533-position model. The record is from RNAcentral.
UACGAAGGGGGCUAGCGUUGCUCGGAAUCACUGGGCGUAAAGCGCACGUAGGCGGCUUGCUAAGUCAGGGGUGAAAUCCUGGAGCUCAACUCCAGAACUGCCCUUGAUACUGGCGGUCUCGAGUCCGGGAGAGGUGAGUGGAACUGCGAGUGUAGAGGUGAAAUUCGUAGAUAUUCGCAAGAACACCAGUGGCGAAGGCGGCUCACUGGCCCGGUACUGACGCUGAGGUGCGAAAGCGUGGGGAGCAAACGGG